Molecule: ribosomal RNA, 508 nt
Filed under: uncultured bacterium
Lineage: Bacteria
Description: partial 16S ribosomal RNA
Rfam family: Bacterial small subunit ribosomal RNA
Source: RNAcentral
GACGAACGCUGGCGGCGUGCUUAACACAUGCAAGUCGAACGGGCCUUGUCCCCUUUUUUUUUGGGGGUGGGGUUAGUGGCGAACGGGUGAGUAACACGUGAGUAACCUGCCCCUCACUUCUGGAUAACCGCUUGAAAGGGUGGCUAAUACGGGGUGUUCUGGCCUGCUCGCAUGGGUGGGUUUGGAAAGAUUCGACCGGUUUUGGUUGUUUUGGUGGGGGGUGGGCUCGCGGCCUAUCAGCUUGUUGGUGGGGUGAUGGCCUGCCAAGGCUUUGACGGGUAGCCGGCCUGAGAGGGUGGGCGGUCACACUGGGACUGAGACACGGCCCAGACUCCUACGGGAGGCAGCAGUGGGGAAUAUUGCACAAUGGGCGCAAGCCUGAUGCAGCGACGCCGCGUGAGGGAUGGAGGCCUUCGGGUUGUGAACCUCUUUCGCCAGUGAAGAAGGUCCUGCUCUUUGUGGUGGGGUUGACGGUAGCGGGGUUAAUGAAGCGCCGGCUAACUACGUG